GGUGUCUAUUUUGGUUGUUGGAUGUUCAGCCAAGAUGAGGAAGGAGGAGCUGGGUGGGUGGAGGUUGAGGGGGAAAUAUUGUACAGGCGGAGGCGGAGGCGGAGGCGGCGAGGACAGCAGGGGUUGGCGGAGGAAAAGGAUGGAGAGGAGAGGAGAGGAGAGAGAGAGAUAUAUAUACAGAUGGGAGAAAAAGAUUUACAGACGAAAGAGAGCGAGAUAGAUUUACA
This 227-nucleotide long non-coding RNA is filed under the name Salvia miltiorrhiza (redroot sage). Its description in RNAcentral is "long non-coding RNA (SMIL_LNC000019)". The record is from RNAcentral. Lineage: Eukaryota; Viridiplantae; Streptophyta; Magnoliopsida; Lamiales; Lamiaceae.